Non-coding RNA from Schizosaccharomyces pombe (fission yeast), 277 nucleotides. The record is from the annotation of a GenBank genome assembly. Lineage: Eukaryota; Fungi; Ascomycota; Schizosaccharomycetes; Schizosaccharomycetales; Schizosaccharomycetaceae.
UUUACAGGAACCAAGUCCUCCAACGUGCAUUCCUGUUGAGUAACAGGGUCUUUAGACGUUUCACGAAUAACUUGUUCAAUCAAGCGCUUCUCGUAAACAUUUCCUACAUUCAGUCAGACAGGGAAAUUAUUGUACAAACAUACCACUUACACGAGAAAUCACCGGUUCUUUUGGCGUUUCUCCACUGAUUGAGCAAAACAUUCGGCACACGUUGGUUUCUGUGUGUAAUAGCUAGAGGAAAGCAAUGCAUAGCCAACUAAUCGUUUACUGCACUAUA